RNAcentral lists this ribosomal RNA (171 nucleotides) under Arabidopsis thaliana (thale cress). The record is from RNAcentral. Lineage: Eukaryota; Viridiplantae; Streptophyta; Magnoliopsida; Brassicales; Brassicaceae.
AUCAUAAAGUCUUAAAAGAGAAUAGAUAGCAUUACAUUGCAUGUAGUAACACAUGCGAUCAUACCAGCACUAAUGCACCGGAUCCCAUCAGAACUCCGCAGUUAAGGGUGCUUGGGCGAGAGUAGUACUAGGAUGGGUGACUUCCCGGAAAGUCCUCGUGUUGCAUCCCUC